Long non-coding RNA from Panicum virgatum (switchgrass), 688 nucleotides. RefSeq lists it as uncharacterized. The transcript is spliced from 2 exons. NCBI's taxonomy places the organism in Eukaryota, Viridiplantae, Streptophyta, Magnoliopsida, Poales, Poaceae. The record is from RefSeq and is a predicted model, not a curated record.
GUAGUGCAGAUGAUGACUGAGGGGACGGAUGGAGGUCGUCGGUUCUUUAGAUGCCCGCGAGCAUGGUCUUCCAAGGCUCCGGAAGGCUACAAGUUCGCUAGAUGGGUCGAUCCUAUUCAUAUUCAUCUGUAUGCCGAGUACAUCUACUAUCUGCAGAAUCGUAUCUUCGAUCUAGAAAGGGAAGUGAGCGCCGCUGAUGUGGAAGAUAAUAUCAACAGUGAUGAUACCGAUUCACAGGAGGUACUCUGAACUGAUCCCUAUUGCAAGUGCCCAUAUCACAAGAACAAGGGUCAUCCAACUCCUCCUCCCCCGCAGCCGCCGACAAGCAUCGGAGGAUACUAUGGAGAAGGUUCAACUCAGUUUGCGCGGUGGGAUCAGUACCAAGUCCAUUGCCACUUUCUGUAACAUUAGAUCGUUUGUCGUGAUUUAAAUUCCCUAAGCCAUGUUAGGUUUAGUUGUGGCACCUCUCCCGUUACAUGCCACUCUUUGAAUUGUGUUGUUUCGAUUCCCUAAGGCAUGUUAGAUUUAGUUAUGGCACUUGUGCUAUUACAUGCCACUGCAACAGUUCUGUAAUUUAAAUUUCCUAAGUCACCAUGCCUUCCAUUCCAUGUCACAAUGACUCGCUAUGGUACCCUCCUCCCAAAGUUCACAUCCAAACAUAUUUUUCACAGAAUGAAAGGAGAUCCUU